This 205-nucleotide unclassified non-coding RNA is filed under the name plant metagenome. Its description in RNAcentral is "partial contains small subunit ribosomal RNA, internal transcribed spacer 1, and 5.8S ribosomal RNA". The stretch from base 141 to 205 matches the Rfam family "5.8S ribosomal RNA", at positions 1 to 53 of the family's 154-position model. The record is from RNAcentral.
GUAGGUGAACCUGCGGAAGGAUCAUUAUAAAAUUUUCAUAUAUUAAUUUAUUAAUUAUAUACAAAAUGUAUUCAAAACCCACACUCUUAUAAACCAUUUAUAAAAAAUGUUAUAUCUCGUAUAUAAUAAUAACAAAAAACAACUUUCAACAACGGAUCUCUUGGCUCUCGCAUCGAUGAAGAACGCAGCAUCUGACUGACUGCAC